AUUGAACGCUGGCGGCAUGCCUUACACAUGCAAGUCGAACGGCAGCACGGGAGCAAUCCUGGUGGCGAGUGGCGAACGGGUGAGUAAUAUAUCGGAACGUGCCCGGUCGUGGGGAUAACGUAGCGAAAGCUACGCUAAUACCGCAUACGAUCUACGGAUGAAAGCGGGGGAUCGCAGGACCUCGCGCGAUUGGAGCGGCCGAUAUCAGAUUAGGUAGUUGGUGAGGUAAAGGCUCACCAAGCCGACGAUCUGUAGCUGGUCUGAGAGGACGACCAGCCACACUGGGACUGAGACACGGCCCAGACUCCUACGGGAGGCAGCAGUGGGGAAUUUUGGGACAAUGGGCGCAAGCCUGAUCCAGCAAUGCCGCGUGCAGGAUGAA
Molecule: ribosomal RNA, 382 nt
Filed under: uncultured bacterium
Lineage: Bacteria
Description: bacterial SSU rRNA
Rfam family: Bacterial small subunit ribosomal RNA
Source: RNAcentral